CUUCAGUUUCUCGUGCAACACUCGUGCAGUACGAGUUUUGCCAAUCGAAAACGCUAUGAGAUGUUGGUUCAAAACAAACGUUCACGUUGUUAUAGCGUACGCGUACUCUAUCUUUUAUUUCUUACUCUGAGGGCUUACCUGCUUACCAUUGGCGGAACAACGUAGCCACGGGCCUGUGUGCGAAUUUUUUUGCUGAGCCCCUAUUAUGAUACGACUUAUUGAUAACAAUAUUAAUUUAGGUAUGUUCCUGAAUCUGAAGCCGGGCUCAGACGACUCGUGUACUUGGCGAAUAAUCGUUACUUUCGUAUACUUGGCAUGUCGUGUGAGUGGGUUACUUGUACAAUUAAUUGUCACUCGUUAGUUUUCCAUUUCUUGUCGGUAAAAUUGGUCCGAGUCAAAGGGAUCACGAUUAUUCGCACACUUGCCAAGUACAUACUUAUCUAUACUUGUAGAGGCGCUCAAACGGAAUGCACAAAUAAUUUGCCUUUAGUGCGAUUAUUAAUUUAGUUUUCAGUUAAAGACGGAAGCGUACAGACGUUUUUUUUUUUUUUUUCUUUUUUUAUUGAAAUGGAGUGGACAAAUGAGAUUGUGUUGGAAUUUCUUGUUUUUUAUGAAAAUGAGCCGGUCAUUUGGAUGGCUAAACACAAAGACUCAACACAACAAAAGCCGCGGAAGCAACAACUAAAUUCUCUGGACGACCGCUAUCCAUAAUGGCAGUCACGUCACUGUCUAGUCAUUCAUUUGUACAAAGUAUACAAAUGUUCGCCCCAAAUAUUCGCCCUCGCGUACUUGUACAAUGUACACGUCGUGUGAGUGCCCUGCUUGCCAUCGCAACUCGCCAAGCUCGUAUACUUCCCAAGUACGCAAAUAAUUGUGUAUUCGCCAAGUACACGAGUCGUCUGAGCCUGGCUUGAACAUAAAAUACGAGGAAAAAUAUGUGGUAAUCAGUCAGAGCGCGGAUUAAACGUUUACGCUUAUCAUUUCCCCACGAUUUAGAAAAUUGAAUCUUACUUUCUCAGUUAACUUUUACUAUUCAGAAAGUCAUUCGUUCGGUUAUAGUGUUAUCUCAUGACUAAUGACAAUUUAUAGCUAAUGUUUUGUACCCUUGAA
Long non-coding RNA from Photinus pyralis (common eastern firefly), 1110 nucleotides. RefSeq lists it as uncharacterized. The record is from RefSeq and is a predicted model, not a curated record. The transcript has 3 exons. NCBI's taxonomy places the organism in Eukaryota, Metazoa, Arthropoda, Insecta, Coleoptera, Lampyridae.